CGAGCGCCAUUUUGAUUGCGAAGUGAAACAUUAAAUGGAAUUGAUGAGGUGAUUGAAGAGUGAAAUCGUUUUGCUGCCAAUUAACUUAGAUCAUCAAUUGCAGAGAUGGCCGAUGAUGUGACAGUGGAUCCUACGUUGCUGAAAAAGGUGAUAGAGAUAGAGAUGUCCGACGAGCUAUCGUCGGUACUGGCCAGUUCAUCAAAGGUUAAAGAGCCGAUGGGACUAAAGGCACCACAGAAAGAAAUGUCUGGUUCAUCCCAGGUUUGUGUUUGUUAAAUAUUUCAUAUAAUUUUAAUCAUAGAUAUAUUAAGUGUGUAUUCUUUGACAGCAAUAUAGACAUAUGAAGACAUGACACACUUAUACGGGUUGGGUUAGAAGGUAUACAUGUGGUUGGAUCACCACCACCAUUCAUGCAGGAGCUGUAAACCAGACUAUACAUUUGAAUAAGGAGAAUAUGAUCACAGUAUAAGUGCAAUAUUUGAUUAAUUGAUAUUGAAAUACUAAAUAUAAGUAAACCA
Long non-coding RNA from Lytechinus variegatus (green sea urchin), 518 nucleotides. RefSeq lists it as uncharacterized. The transcript has 4 exons. Lineage: Eukaryota; Metazoa; Echinodermata; Echinoidea; Temnopleuroida; Toxopneustidae. The record is from RefSeq and is a predicted model, not a curated record.